Molecule: non-coding RNA, 29 nt
Filed under: Homo sapiens (human)
Lineage: Eukaryota; Metazoa; Chordata; Mammalia; Primates; Hominidae
Source: RNAcentral
UCCUCCCGGUGGGCGUUCUUCAUGGCUUC